This 253-nucleotide ribosomal RNA is filed under the name uncultured bacterium. RNAcentral describes it as "partial 16S ribosomal RNA". It matches the Rfam family "Bacterial small subunit ribosomal RNA", at positions 524 to 776 of the family's 1533-position model. The record is from RNAcentral.
UACGUAGGGGGCUAGCGUUGUCCGGAAUCAUUGGGCGUAAAGCGCGCGUAGGCGGCCAGAUAAGUCCGGUGUGAAAGUCACAGGCUCAACCUGUGAAUGCCGCUGGAAACUGUCUGGCUAGAGUCCGGAAGAGGAGAGUGGAAUUCCUGGUGUAGCGGUGAAAUGCGCAGAUAUCAGGAAGAACACCUAUGGCGAAGGCAGCUCUCUGGGACGGUACUGACGCUGAGACGCGAAAGCGUGGGGAGCGAACAGG